CUGCGCCGUACUCAUGGCACCAAUCGGAAUCACCGCAUCGAGGAUCAUCCUGCGUUGAGAAAGCACGACAAACAGUUGGAAGGCAUCAUUGCCAAACA
RNAcentral lists this non-coding RNA (98 nucleotides) under Foraminifera environmental sample. The record is from RNAcentral. Lineage: Eukaryota; Foraminifera.